CGGCGAACGGGUGAGUAACACGUGGGUGAUCUGCCUCGCACUCUGGGAUAAGCCUGGGAAACUGGGUCUAAUACCGGAUAUGAGCAUGGUCUGCAUGGACUGUGUUGGAAAGGUUUACUGGUGCGAGAUGGGCCCGCGGCCUAUCAGCUUGUUGGUGGGGUAACGGCCUACCAAGGCGACGACGGGUAGCCGGCCUGAGAGGGCGACCGGCCACACUGGGACUGAGACACGGCCCAGACUCCUACGGGAGGCAGCAGUGGGGAAUAUUGCACAAUGGGCGAAAGCCUGAUGCAGCGACGCCGCGUGAGGGAUGACGGCCUUCGGGUUGUAAACCUCUUUCGACAGGGACGAAGCGCAAGUGACGGUACCUGUAGAAGAAGCACCGGCCAACUACGUGCCAGCAGCCGCGGUAAUACGUAGGGUGCGAGCGUUGUCCGGAAUUACUGGGCGUAAAGAGCUUGUAGGCGGUCUGUCGCGUCGAUUGUGAAAACUCACAGCUCAACUGUGAGCCUGCAGUCGAUACGGGCAGACUAGAGUACUUCAGGGGAGACUGGAAUUCCUGGUGUAGCGGUGAAAUGCGCAGAUAUCAGGAGGAACACCGGUGGCGAAGGCGGGUCUCUGGGAAGUAACUGACGCUGAGAAGCGAAAGCGUGGGUAGCGAACAGGAUUAGAUACCCUGGUAGUCCACGCCGUAAACGGUGGGUACUAGGUGUGGGUUUCCUUCCACGGGAUCCGUGCCGUAGCUAACGCAUUAAGUACCCCGCCUGGGGAGUACGGCCGCAAGGCUAAAACUCAAAGGAAUUGACGGGGGCCCGCACAAGCGGCGGAGCAUGUGGAUUAAUUCGAUGCAACGCGAAGAACCUUACCUGGGUUUGACAUACACCGGAAAGCCGUAGAGAUACGGCCCCCCUUGUGGUCGGUGUACAGGUGGUGCAUGGCUGUCGUCAGCUCGUGUCGUGAGAUGUUGGGUUAAGUCCCGCAACGAGCGCAACCCUUAUCUUAUGUUGCCAGCGCGUAAUGGCGGGGACUCGUGAGAGACUGCCGGGGUCAACUCGGAGGAAGGUGGGGACGACGUCAAGUCAUCAUGCCCCUUAUGUCCAGGGCUUCACACAUGCUACAAUGGCCGGUACAGAGGGCUGCGAUACCGUGAGGUGGAGCGAAUCCCUUAAAGCCGGUCUCAGUUCGGAUCGGGGUCUGCAACUCGACCCCGUGAAGUUGGAGUCGCUAGUAAUCGCAGAUCAGCAACGAACGGUGAAUACGUUCCCGGGCCUUGUACACACCGCCCGUCAAGUGAUGAAA
Molecule: ribosomal RNA, 1299 nt
Filed under: Nocardia sp.
Lineage: Bacteria; Bacillati; Actinomycetota; Actinomycetes; Mycobacteriales; Nocardiaceae
Description: bacterial SSU rRNA
Rfam family: Bacterial small subunit ribosomal RNA
Source: RNAcentral